RNAcentral lists this unclassified non-coding RNA (262 nucleotides) under Melitaea cinxia (Glanville fritillary). RNAcentral's name for it is "misc RNA ENSMCXG00005019325.1". Lineage: Eukaryota; Metazoa; Arthropoda; Insecta; Lepidoptera; Nymphalidae. The record is from RNAcentral.
GUGAAUCAUGGAACCGUUACACUUAGCGUAAAGAACAACUUUAUGAACUGAUAAUCCUGUGUCCCCAAGAUUACACCUCUGAACUUGAGAAAUCUCAGCGAGCGCCUGCACUCAUUGAUUGGUCUAAAGUGAUAAAAGUCCCUUUUGCACUAAAAAUGUUACGAAUUGUGUUAAAAAUAUAGCAAACAAAAAGAGCGUUAAAUUAUUAAAUUGCUACAAAACAUUUACAUACUUGUUAUAUAAAGAUUCAUCAUUAUUUGAU